This 465-nucleotide ribosomal RNA is filed under the name uncultured bacterium. RNAcentral describes it as "partial 16S ribosomal RNA". It matches the Rfam family "Bacterial small subunit ribosomal RNA", at positions 28 to 507 of the family's 1533-position model. The record is from RNAcentral.
GACGAACGCUGGCGGCGUGCUUAACACAUGCAAGUCGAACGGAAAGGCCCUGCUUGCAGGGUACUCGAGUGGCGAACGGGUGAGUAACACGUGGGGGAUCUGCCCUGCACUUCGGGAUAAGCCUGGGAAACUGGGUCUAAUACCGGAUAGGAGUCAUUUUUAGUGUGAUGGUUGGAAAGUUUUUUCGGUGUUGGAUGAGCUCGCGGGCUAUCAGCUUGUUGGUGGGGUAAUGGCCUACCAAGGCGGCGACGGGUAGCCGGCCUGAGAGGGUGGACGACCACAUUGAGACUGAGAGACGGCCCAGACUCCUACGGGAGGGAGAAGGGGGGAAUAUUGCACAAGCGGCGCAGGACUGGUGCAGAGACGCCGCGUGGGGGAUGACGGACUUCGGGUGGUAAACUCCUUUCGCUAGGGACGAAGCUUUUUGUGACGGUACCUAGAUAAGAAGCACCGGCUAACUACGUG